GACGGGGGAUUCAAGCGUUAUCCGGAAUCACUGGGCGUAAAGCGUCUGUAGGUGGUGAUGCAAGUCACUGGUGCAAAACUCUGGCUCAACCGGAGGAAAGCCAGUGAAACUGCAUGACUAGAGUGUGGGAGAGGUAGAAGGAAUUCCCUGAGUAGCGGUGAAAUGCGUAGAUACAGGGAAGAACACCGGAGGCGAAAGCGUUCUACUGGAACACAACUGACACUGAGAGACGAAAGCUCGGGGCGCGAAUGGG
Molecule: ribosomal RNA, 253 nt
Filed under: uncultured bacterium
Lineage: Bacteria
Description: partial 16S ribosomal RNA
Rfam family: Bacterial small subunit ribosomal RNA
Source: RNAcentral